This 483-nucleotide ribosomal RNA is filed under the name Triticum aestivum (bread wheat). RNAcentral describes it as "partial small subunit ribosomal RNA". The record is from RNAcentral. Lineage: Eukaryota; Viridiplantae; Streptophyta; Magnoliopsida; Poales; Poaceae.
AUGCGCGAGUGCUGCGCGUGGGCCGAUGGUGAUGAGAAGGCGGUGACAUUGGUGGAGUCGGAGGGCGAAGACCAUGGCUUCCACCUGUACAACCCACUGCGGGCGACCAGCAAGGUUCUCAUGGAGAGCAUAGUGCAGUUCAUCAACCAGCGCACCUCAUUGCCACUGCCGGCCGCUCUGCUGCCGGAGCUGCAUGCAUACGGUGGUAAGAAGAUGGACCCAUGCUGCUUGCCUAUUCUGGGCGUGCCUGCUCGGCCGUAUAUGGACGUGUUUGGUUAUGGGGUGGCCAUGAAAGCUUCGAGUGUCCCAAAAGGCAUGACACGUACUAGUUGCUUACACGGCGGACAGGGGAGAAGAGCAUCCAAAACUAGAUAUGGGUUAUCUUUGGGCUAUGCUACCAGGCUUAAUAACAAGACCAACACGAGGUUCUCCUUAUCAGCAACAGCAACACCGGGGACUUGUGUUUCUCACAACUUCAUCUAG